GGUGUUAGUUGAGCUUUACUGGUAAAACAUUUGGGUGAUGAUACCAAAAGUCUGGGGUUCAAAUCCCGCCAGCAUUA
Non-coding RNA from Thalictrum thalictroides, 77 nucleotides. The record is from the annotation of a GenBank genome assembly. NCBI's taxonomy places the organism in Eukaryota, Viridiplantae, Streptophyta, Magnoliopsida, Ranunculales, Ranunculaceae.